This 260-nucleotide unclassified non-coding RNA is filed under the name fungal sp. RNAcentral describes it as "partial internal transcribed spacer region". The stretch from base 1 to 45 matches the Rfam family "Eukaryotic small subunit ribosomal RNA", at positions 1787 to 1831 of the family's 1831-position model. Lineage: Eukaryota; Fungi. The record is from RNAcentral.
AGUCGUAACAAGGUUUCCGUAGGUGAACCUGCGGAAGGAUCAUUAACACGUAUCCAAACGUUAAACCCCCCUGUGAACCUUCAGUCGUACUCGUACGUCCGUCGCAGUCACGAUCGUUGGAGGCCCACACGGCCGACGACCGGGUCACUGGGUGCAAGCCCCCUUAUCACACCCCUGCUCUAUCUAUGGUGAUCCUGCGGGAAGUCCUGCGGUCGAACGCCGAAACCGAACAACUGUUAACAAUGGAUAUCUUGGUUCUC